This is a long non-coding RNA of Tachysurus vachellii, 1149 nucleotides long. RefSeq lists it as uncharacterized. NCBI's taxonomy places the organism in Eukaryota, Metazoa, Chordata, Actinopteri, Siluriformes, Bagridae. The record is from RefSeq and is a predicted model, not a curated record. The transcript has 3 exons.
AUGUCCAGUCUCUUAAAAUACUCCUAAAAUAAUAAACAUCAGACAUGAUGUGAUGAUAUGAUACGAUGGUACUGUGCCGUCGAUCUGCUCACGAAGUCUACUGUAGCUGAUUAAAAAGCCAUAUUUAUGUUAACAUCAUAUUCAUCCCUCAGCUUCAGCUCCAGUGUCGUCUCUUUGUUUUUGUUGAAAUAAUAUAACCAUUGUGCCGUUUCUCUUCUUUCCCAUAACAGUUACAACUCUUUGCUCAGAACAGGAACUGGGUGAGAAACUUAUGAAGGCUCCAAAACCCCUUAGUUCCUCAAAACGUUGUGUUAAUUUGUCACCUUGUUUUUCAUCUUUCUAAAAUAUACAAAAGUGUCUCCGUUGCUCAUUCUCACAAACUCUUCUAUUAGCACUUCUUUCAUUUAUUUUUACAGAGAUCCUCCAAACUGUAUGUUCCUUCUUGCUGUACUAACCUCCCUCCAACACGACUGUAGCUCAGUGGUAUUUUAAGCCCUGACCUAGUGCUCUAGCAUGAAGAUGUGUUUUUAUAGCACUCUGGAUAAAUGUUAUAAAAGUUCCCUACAGCUCACAUUUGACCAGACAGCGAUGUUUGUUACGGAAAGAGUCACUGAAAAAUGUCGACUCUGCACUGGGAGGAACUAAAAUCAGCAGAGCUUUCUGAAAAAUAUCAUGAGCAAAAAGAUCCAGAAGAGGAAAAGGCAUCAGAUCAGCGUCAGCAGUUUGGUGAUCUGCAGACGAGGCACAGUCAGUAACGAGCACAUGAAUCAGUGACUGUCUCUACACUUCCCCUCCUCCUGUCGACCUAAUCCAUAAUCCCGUGGAAAUCAGGCAGGAGGAACAGUGCAGCUUUGAUCAGGCUCUUGUCUCAGUGCUGCGUUAGGUGUCCUCACAUCCUGCUGUGCCCCGGUGCUCGCAGCACGUCUAACAUAGAAGCCAAAAGCAGGACCUCCUGUACGUCGACUUAUUUUGUCUGAACUGAACAGAAAAAAGAGAUCACUGUUCUUCCAUUAAUCACUCCAUCAUAAAUAGUUGGUUAUAUAAAUAGUCCAACAAGGAUGCUUUGUUUAUCCUAAAAAAAAAAAAAAGUUCAUGAUGCUCCUUGGUCUACUACAUAAAAAUGUGGUGGAAAAUUCGAGAGUGAAUAUU